RNAcentral lists this non-coding RNA (28 nucleotides) under Mus musculus (house mouse). Lineage: Eukaryota; Metazoa; Chordata; Mammalia; Rodentia; Muridae. The record is from RNAcentral.
UAAAACAACCAUGGCUAUCUUAAUCCUA